Molecule: ribosomal RNA, 690 nt
Filed under: Rhizopus stolonifer
Lineage: Eukaryota; Fungi; Mucoromycota; Mucoromycetes; Mucorales; Rhizopodaceae
Description: eukaryotic LSU rRNA
Rfam family: Eukaryotic large subunit ribosomal RNA
Source: RNAcentral
UAACAAUGAUUUCCCUAGUAACGGCGAGUGAAGAGGAAAGAGCUCAAAGUUGGAACCUGUUUGGCCUAGCUAAACAGGAUUGUAAACUGUAGAAGUGUUUUCCAGGCAAUCCGAGUUAAUAAGUCCUUUGGAACAGGGCAUCAUAGAGGGUGAGAAUCCCGUCUUUGAUUCGAGAUAUUUUGUCUUUUGCGAUACACUUUCAAAGAGUCAGGUUGUUUGGGAAUGCAGCCUAAAUUGGGUGGUAAAUCUCACCUAAAGCUAAAUAUUGGCGAGAAACCGAUAGCGAACAAGUACCGUGAGGGAAAGAUGAAAAGAACUUUGAAAAGAGAGUUAAACAGUAUGUGAAAUUGUUAAAAGGGAACCGUUUGGAGCCAGACUGGCUUGUCUGUAAUCAAUCUAGGUUUCGUGCCUGGAUGCACUUGCAGACUAUUUGCCUGCCAACGACAAUUUUUUUUGAGUGUAAAAACUAUUGGAAAUGUGGCCAAUAUUUAUUUAUUGGUGUUAUAGUCCUUUAGAAAAUACCUUGAAUUGGAUUGAGGAACGCAGCGAAUGCUUCUCUUUUGAGGCAAAGUCUUUUAUUGGGAUUUACGGAUCAGACUGUGGCAUUGUCACAAGACUUGAAGUUUAAACCUAUUUUUGAACUUUUAUUCGCUUAGGUUGUUGGCUUAAUGACUCUAAAUGACCCGUCUA